Long non-coding RNA from Octodon degus (degu), 81 nucleotides. RefSeq lists it as uncharacterized. The record is from RefSeq and is a predicted model, not a curated record. The transcript has 3 exons. NCBI's taxonomy places the organism in Eukaryota, Metazoa, Chordata, Mammalia, Rodentia, Octodontidae.
AUCACAUUGCUCUGUGGCCCCAUAAUCUCCUUGAUCAGAAAACUUGGGACACAACUGAACUAUAUGAUGUUACAGUACAGG